GAUUGAAGAGCACCUGGAGAAUCUCACAUGUUAAGCAAUUUCUAUCACUCGAGUCCAUCCAAUGAUAAUAUGAGAAAAACCAUCAAGAACCACAAAGGAAGCUAUCUGUGUUAUAUGCUAGGAAGUAGAGACACCAAACCCAAGGCAACACAUUGAUUCAAGUUGUACUCAAACUGGCCACUGACAACAAUCAGCCACCACGUCAUACACAUUCAAUCAUGCUCUUUUUCAGUAAUUUCCUUUUCAGAUAACCACCACGUCAUACACAUUCAAUCAUGCUCUUUUUCAGUAAUUUCCUUUUCAGAUAACCACCACGUCAUACACAUUCAAUCAUGCUCUUUUUCAGUAAUUUCCUUUUCAGAUAACCACCACGUCAUACACAUUCAAUCAUGCUCUUUUUCAGUAAUUUCCUUUUCAGAUAACCACCACGUCAUACACAUUCAAUCAUGCUCUUUUUCAGUAAUUUCCUUUUCAGAUAACCACCACGUCAUACACAUUCAAUCAUGCUCUUUUUCAGUAAUUUCCUUUUCAGAUAACCACCACGUCAUACACAUUCAAUCAUGCUCUUUUUCAGUAAUUUCCUUUUCAGAUAACCACCACGUCAUACACAUUCAAUCAUGCUCUUUUUCAGUAAUUUCCUUUUCAGAUAACCACCACGUCAUACACAUUCAAUCAUGCUCUUUUUCAGUAAUUUCCUUUUCAGAUAACCACCACGUCAUACACAUUCAAUCAUGCUCUUUUUCAGUAAUUUCCUUUUCAGAUAACCACCACGUCAUACACAUUCAAUCAUGCUCUUUUUCAGUAAUUUCCUUUUCAGAUAACAGUGUCAAUCCAGUGCACACCACUAGGGCAUGGUUCCAAAGUUCACACUUUCUAUCCUUCAAUUCAUUGUUUUUUCUUUAAUUGUUUGCUUUGGAAGAAGGAAAAGGUAAUUUAUUUUCAAAACCACUUGUGAACACCAAUGAGUCACAUUCGCAAAGUUUUCACCUUAUUCCUAAGUUCUUUUCUUUAGAAAGACAUGAGAAGGUGAUUUAUUUUCAAGAGGAUAACAGGGUUUUAUUCAUAAGUAGUGAAGCUAGUAUGAAAACAUUCACAGUUCCUGCAUUUUUUAAAUCCCAAAUAGAAAAGAUUUACAACAAGGCAUCAUCACUUUGUCCAAUAAAGUAGCUUUUGGAUCAAUCAUUUUAGAGAAGGGCAGAAGACUCAUUUAGUUUGGCCAAUUCAUAGAGGAAGAGUUGAUUGCGGUGGGGAUAUGUUGAAAGGGUUCAUAUUUGCUUAAAGUAAGUAAAACGAAAUUGAAGCAGAAACUACAGAAGAAGAUGAAAUAAAGAAUUUACAUAUUUAUAUUGAUGCUGAUAAUUGUUUUCGUUUGAGGGACAAGCAUAUAG
RNAcentral lists this long non-coding RNA (1388 nucleotides) under Solanum tuberosum (potato). RNAcentral describes it as "long non-coding RNA (STUB_LNC009516)". Lineage: Eukaryota; Viridiplantae; Streptophyta; Magnoliopsida; Solanales; Solanaceae. The record is from RNAcentral.